RNAcentral lists this transfer RNA (76 nucleotides) under Staphylococcus aureus. RNAcentral describes it as "tRNA-Thr". It matches the Rfam family "tRNA". From Rfam's summary of the family: Transfer RNA (tRNA) molecules are approximately 80 nucleotides in length. Their secondary structure includes four short double-helical elements and three loops (D, anti-codon, and T loops). RNAcentral also lists the same sequence under 2 other names. The record is from RNAcentral. Lineage: Bacteria; Bacillati; Bacillota; Bacilli; Caryophanales; Staphylococcaceae.
GCCGGCCUAGCUCAAUUGGUAGAGCAACUGACUUGUAAUCAGUAGGUUGGGGGUUCAAGUCCUCUGGCAGGCACCA